ACAGCACCUGGCCCUGGUGACCCCCGGUGACCCCCGGCGGGGGUGCCGGGUCCCGCUGUCCGCAGCUACAGAGGCAUUCCCAGCCCCGUGUGUCGGGGACACCGACAGGGACAGUCCAGCUGGCAGGAGGAAAAGUGCGGCUGCAGAGCUGCGGGGGACAUUUAUCCCUAAUCCCUGUGAACGCCCACCCUUCGCAGUAGUGCCGGCGGUGGGACAUUGACCCGCCUUCCCCCGUGCAAGGACGGUUUCCCUGCCCGUGUUUUCCAAGGAAGAAGAGGACUGGAUUUGGUGCUUGUGGACACCUGUGCCACAGGACUGCCUCGAGAGUGUCAGACCUCACUAGAGGAGAAUCCACCAUCCUGAUUUUAAUUAACUGCAGUAGAUGGAAGAGGCAAGAAGGACUAUCAAGUGUUGCUGCCUGUGGAAGAGGUGCUUCUGUUGGGAAGGUUGAGGCUUCUGCAGUUUCUGCUUUAACAUUUCUGCUGCCCUCUGGUGUUUCGGAUAUCCUGAACGAGGAAUCACCUUGGAUGAUUCUGUGAUAUCCAUGGUCGGGAGAGGUGUAAUUACAGAGCUGGCUUGUACAUAACCAGGGUAGAAGAGCGAGGAAAGUGAGGAGGACAUUCCAAAGCAUAUUCACAAGGAUGUUCCUUCGAUUUCUCUCGGAAGACGGAGGAGCUGGGAGGAUACAGCUGCUCAGUUUUUCCAUUGCAGCAGCAAUGUGCUCCCUCCCUAAGGGUGGCAUGAUCUAUGUAUGGCAAUAUACAUGGAGACUGAUGCCUUCCAGAACUCAUCUUGCAGAUAUUUCCAGCAAUUCAAUCUUUAGUCAUUUCACUCAGCAUUUUCUAUCAGUUUCAAAACAAACUAACGACAAUAGCAACUUUCUUCGCUUGGCAAAAAGAAAACAAACCGAGAAGUGGAGUCAUUCCUUUCUACCCAUUUCACCCUCCACAGCUGAAGUCAGCCUGGAUUGGUAUGGCAGGUUUGCUGGGGCACUAUUUACUGUACAGCUGUAGUUUUUUUCCCCAGAAAAUAACAGUGUGAUUAUUUUGAAAAUCGUAUUUGUUAGGCUAUUUUACGCAAUUUAAUUGAAUAAAACCUUGCUGAAGUCAAUAGUGUUGUUCCUGGUCACACCAAGUUAGACUCUGGCCUAGAAAAAAAGUAAAAUGGGAGGUGUCACAUUACAAAAAAAAAUAUAGUGACAUUUGAAGUAAAGAAGAUGAGAUAACCAACUAAAAUACUUGUAGGCUUAUUUUAAAGACAAAAGCAUUAUCUUGAAAAAAUGGUGCAUGACUGUUUCUAAUACAACUUCAAAGUGUCUUUGAAUUGAAAA
This is a long non-coding RNA of Lepidothrix coronata (blue-crowned manakin), 1330 nucleotides long. RefSeq lists it as uncharacterized. The record is from RefSeq and is a predicted model, not a curated record. Lineage: Eukaryota; Metazoa; Chordata; Aves; Passeriformes; Pipridae. The transcript is spliced from 3 exons.